GUGGGGAAUUUUGGACAAUGGGGGAAACCCUGAUCCAGCCAUGCCGCGUGAGUGAAGAAGGCCUUCGGGUUGUAAAACUCUUUCAGAUGUGAAGAUGAUGACGGUAACAUCAGAAGAAGCUCCGGCUAACUUCGUGCCAGCAGCCGCGGUAAUACGAAGGGAGCGAGCGUUGUUCGGAAUCACUGGGCGUAAAGAGUGCGUAGGCGGUUAUACAAGUCAGGAGUGAAAUCCCAGAGCUUAACUUUGGAAUUGCUUUUGAAACUGUAUAGCUAGAGUCCCGGAGGGGUUAAUGGAAUUCCGAGUGUAGAGGUGAAAUUCGCAGAUAUUCGGAGGAACACCAGUGGCGAAGGCGAUUAACUGGACGGGCACUGACGCUGAGGCACGAAAGCGUGGGGAUCAAACAGGAUUAGAUACCCUGGUAGUCC
RNAcentral lists this ribosomal RNA (425 nucleotides) under uncultured bacterium. RNAcentral describes it as "partial 16S ribosomal RNA". It matches the Rfam family "Bacterial small subunit ribosomal RNA", at positions 354 to 796 of the family's 1533-position model. The record is from RNAcentral.